UACAGAGGGGGCAAGCGUUGUUCGGAAUUACUGGGCGUAAAGGGCGCGUAGGCGGCCUUCUAAGUCGAACGUGAAAUCCCCGGGCUCAACCCGGGAACUGCGUCCGAUACUGGAAGGCUUGAAUCCGGGAGAGGGAUGUGGAAUUCCAGGUGUAGCGGUGAAAUGCGUAGAUAUCAGGAAGAACACCCGUGGCGAAGGCGGCUCUCUGGUACGGAACUGACGCUGAGACGCGAAAGCGUGGGGAGCGAACAGG
RNAcentral lists this ribosomal RNA (253 nucleotides) under uncultured bacterium. RNAcentral's name for it is "partial 16S ribosomal RNA". It matches the Rfam family "Bacterial small subunit ribosomal RNA", at positions 524 to 776 of the family's 1533-position model. The record is from RNAcentral.